UGAGCCAAGUUUAGGGUUUCUUAAAAACCCAAAGAUGUUUGAACUGAAGAGUUUGAUCAUGGCUCAGAUUGAACGCUGGCGGCAGGCCUAACACAUGCAAGUCGAGCGGUAGAGAGAAGCUUGCUUCUCUUGAGAGCGGCGGACGGGUGAGUA
RNAcentral lists this ribosomal RNA (153 nucleotides) under Bacillus pseudomycoides. RNAcentral's name for it is "partial 16S ribosomal RNA". The stretch from base 41 to 153 matches the Rfam family "Bacterial small subunit ribosomal RNA", at positions 1 to 112 of the family's 1533-position model. Lineage: Bacteria; Bacillati; Bacillota; Bacilli; Caryophanales; Bacillaceae. The record is from RNAcentral.